GAUUCGUAACCUCGGGAAAAGGAUUGACUCUGAGGGCUAGGCUCGGGGGUUCCAAUCUUGAACCCGUCAGAUGCUAGUGAACUGCUUGAGCUGCUCCCAUGACGAGAGUGGGUCGUCGCGUGCCGGCCAGGGAAAGACCCCUUCAGGGGCCUUCCUCGGGUUUCGAAUAGUCAACUCAGAACUGAUAC
Molecule: non-coding RNA, 188 nt
Organism: Populus trichocarpa (black cottonwood)
Lineage: Eukaryota; Viridiplantae; Streptophyta; Magnoliopsida; Malpighiales; Salicaceae
Source: Rfam